AGUGAACGCUGGCGGUAGGCCUAACACAUGCAAGUCGAACGGCAGCACAGUAAGCGCUUGCUCUUACGGGUGGCGAGUGGCGGACGGGUGAGGAAUACAUCGGAAUCUACUUUUUCGUGGGGGAUAACGUAGGGAAACUUACGCUAAUACCGCAUAUGACCUACGGGUGAAAUCAGGGGAUCUUCGGACCUUGCGCGAUUGAAUGAGCCGAUGUCGGAUUAGCUAGUUGGCGGGGUAAAGGCCCACCAAGGCGACGAUCCGUAGCUGGUCUGAGAGGAUGAUCAGCCACACUGGAACUGAGACACGGUCCAGACUCCUACGGGAGGCAGCAGUGGGGAAUAUUGGACAAUGGGCGCAAGCCUGAUGCAGCCAUACCGCGUGAGUGAAGAAGGCCUUCGGAUUGUAAAGCCCUUUUGUUGGGAAAGAAAAGCAGCAGGUUAAUACCCCGCUGUUCUGACGGUACCCAAAGAAUAAGCACCGGCUAACUUCGUG
RNAcentral lists this ribosomal RNA (492 nucleotides) under uncultured bacterium. Its description in RNAcentral is "partial 16S ribosomal RNA". It matches the Rfam family "Bacterial small subunit ribosomal RNA", at positions 29 to 507 of the family's 1533-position model. The record is from RNAcentral.